GUUAUCAGUGUAUUUUUAUUAUUCCCAUUUUACAUAAAAGGAAAUGACUCAGAGUUUAAGUGACUUGUCCAGGGACAUUUAGCUACUAAGUAUCUGAGGUGGGAUUUCAUACAGUCGCUUAAUUUCAGAUAGAAGACGCCCCUAAUUGGGAAAAAAAAAGAUCUCUACAAUGUCUCUGAAAAGUGGUCAUUGAGCUUCUGAGUGAAGAUUUCUCAUGAAGGAAAACUUGCUGCUUCUGUUUCCAUGCUUUCUCGGGCAUGGGCAAGCUCAGAAUCACAACCGGAAGAGGAAUGAAGAAUGACCAAAGUGAAGACUCCAUAAAGGAACUCACCAGUGGGAAAUGGGGCUGGAAUGGUCAGGAGGUAUUCCAGGAAUCAAUGCAGCUUGUAAACAGUCUCAAAGCUUAUAUAACACUGAAAAAUAGGAAGAGAAUGGAGCCCCAACAUCAGACUGCCAACAUCUCUGGCACAGGUAAACAACAGCCACCAGAUACUCAGCCUGCUUCGAAGGCUCCUGCCUGCCAGCUGCUGACCCUCCUGCUGCUGCUGCUGCUAGGUCAAGAUUUAUGCUCCUUCAUCUUAACCAUGCUGGAAUGCUCUCACUGGAGCCUUCUUAUGAUGCAGCUGAUUCUAGUAAGAAAAGAGCCAAGAGAAGAGAAUCCAACUGCCGCUCCCUGGUGAGGUCUGUAUUUUCUUUAGAAAGCAAAUACACAACUAGAAAAUCAGCUUAUUGUUCAUCAUUUUUCAG
Molecule: long non-coding RNA, 747 nt
Filed under: Monodelphis domestica (gray short-tailed opossum)
Lineage: Eukaryota; Metazoa; Chordata; Mammalia; Didelphimorphia; Didelphidae
Description: lncRNA (ENSMODG00000042013.1)
Source: RNAcentral